UACAGAGGUCCCAAGCGUUGUUCGGAUUCACUGGGCGUAAAGGGGGCGUAGGUGGUGAGGUAAGUCGGAUGUGAAAGCUCGGAGCUCAACUCCGAAAUGGCAUUGGAAACUACCUUGCUCGAGGGUUGGAGGGGGGACUGGAAUACUUGGUGUAGCAGUGAAAUGCGUAGAUAUCAAGUGGAACACCAGUGGCGAAGGCGAGUCCCUGGACAACUCCUGACACUGAGGCACGAAAGCUAGGGGAGCAAACAGG
Molecule: ribosomal RNA, 253 nt
Filed under: uncultured bacterium
Lineage: Bacteria
Description: partial 16S ribosomal RNA
Rfam family: Bacterial small subunit ribosomal RNA
Source: RNAcentral